RNAcentral lists this ribosomal RNA (472 nucleotides) under uncultured bacterium. Its description in RNAcentral is "bacterial SSU rRNA". It matches the Rfam family "Bacterial small subunit ribosomal RNA", at positions 328 to 793 of the family's 1533-position model. The record is from RNAcentral.
CGCUAUCACUCCUACGGGGAGGCAGCAGUAGGGAAUCUUCACAAUGGGCGCAAGCCUGAUGGAGCAACACCGCGUGAGUGAAGAAGGGUUUCGGCUCGUAAAGCUCUGUUGUUAAAGAAGAACACGUAUGAGAGUAACUGUUCAUACGUUGACGGUAUUUAACCAGAAAGUCACGGCUAACUACGUGCCAGCAGCCGCGGUAAUACGUAGGUGGCAAGCGUUAUCCGGAUUUAUUGGGCGUAAGAGAGUGCAGGCGGUUUUCUAAGUCUGAUGUGAAAGCCUUCGGCUUAACCGGAGAAGUGCAUCGGAAACUGGAUAACUUGAGUGCAGAAGAGGGUAGUGGAACUCCAUGUGUAGCGGUGGAAUGCGUAGAUAUAUGGAAGAACACCAGUGGCGAAGGCGGCUACCUGGUCUGCAACUGACGCUGAGACUCGAAAGCAUGGGUAGCGAACAGGAUUAGAUACCCUGGUAG